This 373-nucleotide ribosomal RNA is filed under the name uncultured organism. Its description in RNAcentral is "partial 16S ribosomal RNA". It matches the Rfam family "Bacterial small subunit ribosomal RNA", at positions 527 to 896 of the family's 1533-position model. The record is from RNAcentral.
GUAGGUGGCAAGCGUUGUCCGGAAUUAUUGGGCGUAAAGCGCGCGCAGGCGGUUCUUUAAGUCUGAUGUGAAAGCCCACGGCUCAACCGUGGAGGGUCAUUGGAAACUGGAGAACUUGAGUACAGAAGAGGAAAGCGGAAUUCCACGUGUAGCGGUGAAAUGCGUAGAGAUGUGGAGGAACACCAGUGGCGAAGGCGGCUUUCUGGUCUGUAACUGACGCUGAGGCGCGAAAGCGUGGGGAGCAAACCGGGAUUAGAUACCCUGGCAGUCCACGCCGUAAACGAUGAGUGCUAAGUGUUAGGGGGUUUCCGCCCCCUUAGUGCUGCAGCUAACGCAUUAAGCACUCCGCCUGGGGAGUACGGCCGCAAGGCUG